AGCUGGGUAGCUCAGUCGGUAGAGCACUGGUAUGGUGUUCCAGAGGUCGCAGGUUCAAACCCUGCUCCAGUCA
Molecule: transfer RNA, 73 nt
Filed under: Acanthaster planci (crown-of-thorns starfish)
Lineage: Eukaryota; Metazoa; Echinodermata; Asteroidea; Valvatida; Acanthasteridae
Description: tRNA-Thr
Rfam family: tRNA
About the family: Transfer RNA (tRNA) molecules are approximately 80 nucleotides in length.
Source: Rfam by way of RNAcentral